GUUUGUAGCUCAGUUGGAUAGAGCAGUGCCCUUCUAAGGCAAAGGUCGGGAGUUCGAAUCUCUUCAAGCC
Molecule: transfer RNA, 70 nt
Filed under: pig gut metagenome
Rfam family: tRNA
About the family: Transfer RNA (tRNA) molecules are approximately 80 nucleotides in length. Their secondary structure includes four short double-helical elements and three loops (D, anti-codon, and T loops).
Source: RNAcentral